This 1892-nucleotide ribosomal RNA is filed under the name Shigella flexneri. RNAcentral's name for it is "partial 23S ribosomal RNA". It matches the Rfam family "Bacterial large subunit ribosomal RNA", at positions 1072 to 2925 of the family's 2925-position model. The record is from RNAcentral. Lineage: Bacteria; Pseudomonadati; Pseudomonadota; Gammaproteobacteria; Enterobacterales; Enterobacteriaceae.
GAUGUGGGAAGGCCCAGACAGCCAGGAUGUUGGCUUAGAAGCAGCCAUCAUUUAAAGAAAGCGUAAUAGCUCACUGGUCGAGUCGGCCUGCGCGGAAGAUGUAACGGGGCUAAACCAUGCACCGAAGCUGCGGCAGCGACGCUGAUGCGUUGUUGGGUAGGGGAGCGUUCUGUAAGCCUGUGAAGGUGUGCUGUGAGGUAUGCUGGAGGUAUCAGAAGUGCGAAUGCUGACAUAAGUAACGAUAAAGCGGGUGAAAAGCCCGCUCGCCGGAAGACCAAGGGUUCCUGUCCAACGUUAAUCGGGGCAGGGUGAGUCGACCCCUAAGGCGAGGCCGAAAGGCGUAGUCGAUGGGAAACAGGUUAAUAUUCCUGUACUUGGUGUUACUGCGAAGGGGGGACGGAGAAGGCUAUGUUGGCCGGGCGACGGUUGUCCCGGUUUAAGCGUGUAGGCUGGUUUUCCAGGCAAAUCCGGAAAACUAAGGCUGAGGCGUGAUGACGAGGCACUACGGUGCUGAAGCAACAAAUGCCCUGCUUCCAGGAAAAGCCUCUAAGCAUCAGGUAACAUCAAAUCGUACCCCAAACCGACACAGGUGGUCAGGUAGAGAAUACCAAGGCGCUUGAGAGAACUCGGGUGAAGGAACUAGGCAAAAUGGUGCCGUAACUUCGGGAGAAGGCACGCUGAUAUGUAGGUGAAGUCCCUCGCGGAUGGAGCUGAAAUCAGUCGAAGAUACCAGCUGGCUGCAACUGUUUAUUAAAAACACAGCACUGUGCAAACACGAAAGUGGACGUAUACGGUGUGACGCCUGCCCGGUGCCGGAAGGUUAAUUGAUGGGGUCAGCGCAAGCGAAGCUCUUGAUCGAAGCCCCGGUAAACGGCGGCCGUAACUAUAACGGUCCUAAGGUAGCGAAAUUCCUUGUCGGGUAAGUUCCGACCUGCACGAAUGGCGUAAUGAUGGCCAGGCUGUCUCCACCCGAGACUCAGUGAAAUUGAACUCGCUGUGAAGAUGCAGUGUACCCGCGGCAAGACGGAAAGACCCCGUGAACCUUUACUAUAGCUUGACACUGAACAUUGAGCCUUGAUGUGUAGGAUAGGUGGGAGGCUUUGAAGUGUGGACGCCAGUCUGCAUGGAGCCGACCUUGAAAUACCACCCUUUAAUGUUUGAUGUUCUAACGUUGACCCGUAAUCCGGGUUGCGGACAGUGUCUGGUGGGUAGUUUGACUGGGGCGGUCUCCUCCUAAAGAGUAACGGAGGAGCACGAAGGUUGGCUAAUCCUGGUCGGACAUCAGGAGGUUAGUGCAAUGGCAUAAGCCAGCUUGACUGCGAGCGUGACGGCGCGAGCAGGUGCGAAAGCAGGUCAUAGUGAUCCGGUGGUUCUGAAUGGAAGGGCCAUCGCUCAACGGAUAAAAGGUACUCCGGGGAUAACAGGCUGAUACCGCCCAAGAGUUCAUAUCGACGGCGGUGUUUGGCACCUCGAUGUCGGCUCAUCACAUCCUGGGGCUGAAGUAGGUCCCAAGGGUAUGGCUGUUCGCCAUUUAAAGUGGUACGCGAGCUGGGUUUAGAACGUCGUGAGACAGUUCGGUCCCUAUCUGCCGUGGGCGCUGGAGAACUGAGGGGGGCUGCUCCUAGUACGAGAGGACCGGAGUGGACGCAUCACUGGUGUUCGGGUUGUCAUGCCAAUGGCACUGCCCGGUAGCUAAAUGCGGAAGAGAUAAGUGCUGAAAGCAUCUAAGCACGAAACUUGCCCCGAGAUGAGUUCUCCCUGACUCCUUGAGAGUCCUGAAGGAACGUUGAAGACGACGACGUUGAUAGGCCGGGUGUGUAAGCGCAGCGAUGCGUUGAGCUAACCGGUACUAAUGAACCGUGAGGCUUAACCUUACAACGCCGAAGGUGUUU